AGGAAUGCCUUCCCUCGCAAACCU
Molecule: non-coding RNA, 24 nt
Filed under: Arabidopsis thaliana (thale cress)
Lineage: Eukaryota; Viridiplantae; Streptophyta; Magnoliopsida; Brassicales; Brassicaceae
Source: RNAcentral